RNAcentral lists this non-coding RNA (30 nucleotides) under Rattus norvegicus (Norway rat). The record is from RNAcentral. Lineage: Eukaryota; Metazoa; Chordata; Mammalia; Rodentia; Muridae.
AGAUGUCACAUGGUGAACAAAGUACUUUCC